UGGGCUAGAACGCAAUCGGAAUCAGGCCGAAAGGUCUGCGCCAGCGAUGGCCGGUUGCGAGGUGCUGCAUGGUUGUCGUCAGCUCGUGCCGUGAGGUGUCGGGUUAAGUCCCAUAACGAGCGCAACCCCUACUGCUAGUUGCCAGCGGGUCAUGCCGGGGACUCUAGCGGAACUGCCAGCGUAAGCUGCGAGGAAGUGGGGAUGACGUCAAAUCAGCACGGCCCUUACGUCCAGGGCUACACACGUGUUACAAUGGCCAGUACAGAGGGCAGCCACCCCGCGAGGGGGCGCUAAUCCUAAAAGCUGGUCCCAGUUCGGAUCGGAGUCUGCAACCCGACUCCGUGAAGCUGGAUUCGCUAGUAAUCGCGCAUCAGCCACGGCGCGGUGAAUACGUUCCCGGGCCUU
This 405-nucleotide ribosomal RNA is filed under the name uncultured Rikenellaceae bacterium. Its description in RNAcentral is "bacterial SSU rRNA". It matches the Rfam family "Bacterial small subunit ribosomal RNA", at positions 976 to 1382 of the family's 1533-position model. The record is from RNAcentral. Lineage: Bacteria; Pseudomonadati; Bacteroidota; Bacteroidia; Bacteroidales; Rikenellaceae.